UCUCCGUAGGUGAACCUGCGGAGGGAUCAUUAACACGUAUCCAAACCAUAUUUUAUUUUAACAAAAUCUGUGAUCAUAUUUUAUUUGUUUCAUUACAAAUAUUUCUAUGAAAAAGCUUUUUAUAAAACUUUUUUUAAUAGAAUCAAUUUUUUUUACGCGAAAUAUGUAGAGUUGUUAUUAACUUACUUUACUACUUCAACAAAUUUUUCUAUUUUGAAUUAUCAAUUUAUUCAAUUUUAUUAAUGAGUAAAAUUAUAAAAAAAACUAACGUUUUUAUAAACAACUCUUAGCAAUGGAUAUCUUGGUUCUC
RNAcentral lists this unclassified non-coding RNA (310 nucleotides) under plant metagenome. RNAcentral's name for it is "partial contains small subunit ribosomal RNA, internal transcribed spacer 1, and 5.8S ribosomal RNA". The record is from RNAcentral.